This 550-nucleotide ribosomal RNA is filed under the name Aeromonas salmonicida. RNAcentral describes it as "bacterial LSU rRNA". It matches the Rfam family "Bacterial large subunit ribosomal RNA", at positions 2402 to 2925 of the family's 2925-position model. The record is from RNAcentral. Lineage: Bacteria; Pseudomonadati; Pseudomonadota; Gammaproteobacteria; Aeromonadales; Aeromonadaceae.
AAAGUAGGUCAUAGUGAUCCGGUGGUUCUGAAUGGAAGGGCCAUCGCUCAACGGAUAAAAGGUACUCCGGGGAUAACAGGCUGAUACCGCCCAAGAGUUCAUAUCGACGGCGGUGUUUGGCACCUCGAUGUCGGCUCAUCACAUCCUGGGGCUGAAGUCGGUCCCAAGGGUAUGGCUGUUCGCCAUUUAAAGUGGUACGCGAGCUGGGUUCAGAACGUCGUGAGACAGUUCGGUCCCUAUCUGCCGUGGGCGUUGGAUGCUUGAAGGGAGUUGCUCCUAGUACGAGAGGACCGGAGUGAACGAACCUCUGGUGUUCGGGUUGUCACGCCAGUGGCACUGCCCGGUAGCUAAGUUCGGAAUCGAUAACCGCUGAAAGCAUCUAAGCGGGAAGCGAGCCCUGAGAUGAGUCAUCCCUGACCCCUUGAGGGUCCUAAAGGGCCGUUGGAGACCACAACGUUGAUAGGUGGGGUGUGUAAGCGCAGUGAUGUGUUGAGCUAACCCAUACUAAUUACCCGUGAGGCUUAACCAUACAACACCCAAGAAGUGUUCU